GUUUGCCUACGGGGCGCAGCAGUGGGGGAUAUUGCACAAUGGGGGGAACCCUGAUGCAGCGACGCCGCGUGGGUGAAGAAGCGCCUCGGCGCGUAAAGCCCUGUCAGCAGGGAAGAAAAUGACGGUACCUGAAGAAGAAGCCCCGGCUAACUACGUGCCAGCAGCCGCGGUAAUACGCAGGGAGCGAGCGUUGUCCGGAUUUACUGGGGGUAAAGGGGGCGUAGGCGGCCCUGCA
This 235-nucleotide ribosomal RNA is filed under the name uncultured bacterium. RNAcentral's name for it is "partial 16S ribosomal RNA". It matches the Rfam family "Bacterial small subunit ribosomal RNA", at positions 333 to 585 of the family's 1533-position model. The record is from RNAcentral.